RNAcentral lists this long non-coding RNA (553 nucleotides) under Vulpes vulpes (red fox). Its description in RNAcentral is "lncRNA (ENSVVUG00000010190.1)". The record is from RNAcentral. Lineage: Eukaryota; Metazoa; Chordata; Mammalia; Carnivora; Canidae.
AAGUGACUUGCCCCAGAUCAUGCAGUUGGCAGAAGCACCAGGAUAUUUUCAUUCCCAAUACACCAAACACUUGGAAAAGUAACAAAAAAAGGGUAACUGAGAGAAGAAAAGGUGGUGAAAAGAGAAAGUGAGAAGUAGAGAAAGUCAUAGUGAGGAAAUAGGUUUAAAAAAAAAAAAGCAAAUAGAGAGUUGCCAACAGUAUUCUCUGUUUCAGAACAUGCUCUUCUUGGAUGCAUGCCACACUGGAUUUUAAACUAUGAGCUUCUGGGAAACCCUAAGCCCUGGAAUGAUGUUGGCAAAACCCCUUGGGUCUCUGGGAUGGCUUUUGUUUCUUCUUAACCCUGAGAAUGGAGUCCAGGCUGGAGAGCUGCUCAGGCACCGAUUCUCCACAGUCCGAGUGUCAAAAAGUCCUGCUGCCUCUCUCUCCAAAAUAUAUCUGGAGCCCUCUUCAUCUGUCUCCAUUUUCACUGUUGUAAUCCUGGUUCCAGCCCCCAGCCUGUCACCUGAGGACUUUGACAGCUCCGGACAAGCCUCUCCACUUCCAUUCUUGCCC